Molecule: ribosomal RNA, 448 nt
Filed under: uncultured bacterium
Lineage: Bacteria
Description: bacterial SSU rRNA
Rfam family: Bacterial small subunit ribosomal RNA
Source: RNAcentral
UACCAGACUCCUACGGGAGGCAGCAGUAGGGAAUCUUUCACAAUGGGCGAAAGCCUGAUGGAGCAACGCCGCGUGCAGGAUGAAGGCCUUCGGGUUGCAAACUGCUUUUAUAAGCGAGAAAUAUGAUGGUAACUUAUGAAUAAGGAUCGGCUAACUACGUGCCAGCAGCCGCGGUCAUACGUAGGAUCCGAGCAUUAUCCGGAGUGACUGGGUGUAAAGGGAGCGUAGACGGCCAAGCAAGCCAGGGGUGAAAGCCCGGGGCCCAACCCCGGGACUGCCCUUGGAACUGCAUGGCUGGAGUGCGGGAGGGGCAGGCGGAAUUCCUGGUGUAGCGGUGAAAUGCGUAGAUAUCAGGAGGAACACCGGCGGCGAAGGCGGCCUGCUGGACCGCGACUGACGUUGAGGCUCGAAAGCGUGGGGAGCGAACAGGAUUAGAUACCCCUGUAAG